This 73-nucleotide transfer RNA is filed under the name Stegodyphus mimosarum. It matches the Rfam family "tRNA". Rfam says of the family: Transfer RNA (tRNA) molecules are approximately 80 nucleotides in length. Their secondary structure includes four short double-helical elements and three loops (D, anti-codon, and T loops). Further hydrogen bonds mediate the characteristic L-shaped molecular structure. tRNAs have two regions of fundamental functional importance: the anti-codon, which is responsible for specific mRNA codon recognition, and the 3' end, to which the tRNAs corresponding amino acid is attached (by aminoacyl-tRNA synthetases). tRNAs cope with the degeneracy of the genetic code in two manners: having more than one tRNA (with a specific anti-codon) for a particular amino acid; and 'wobble' base-pairing, i.e. permitting non-standard base-pairing at the 3rd anti-codon position. The record is from Rfam by way of RNAcentral. Lineage: Eukaryota; Metazoa; Arthropoda; Arachnida; Araneae; Eresidae.
ACCUUCGUGGUGUAGUGGUCAGCACGCUCGACGCGUAACCGAGAGGUCCGCGGUUCGAUUCCCGGCGAAGGCG